AGCUGUCAGAGACCAGAUGUGAACA
Molecule: non-coding RNA, 25 nt
Filed under: Cricetulus griseus (Chinese hamster)
Lineage: Eukaryota; Metazoa; Chordata; Mammalia; Rodentia; Cricetidae
Source: RNAcentral